AUGGCGAGCGCGGACGGCGAAGCUGCAUCCAUGGCGAGCGCGGCCAACGGAGCUGCAUCCAUGGCGAGCGCGGCCAGCGGAGCUGCAUCCAUGGCAAGCGCAGAUCUCCGGCGAGCGCGGGCGGCGGAGCUACAUCCAUGGCGAGCGCGGUUCUUGGGCAAACACGGAAGGCCGGCGAGGGCGCCCACCGGCGACGAGGGCGCCGCGGCGGUGCUUCAAGCUCGGCCUUUUUCUCGCGAGGGGUGGUCUGCCGGCCGCACGUUCGCUCCGUCGCUUGCCUCGUUCGUGCGCUACUGGCGAGUAGCUAGCUUCGCCUGGGCGCCUGUGGUCCACGCGAACGCACGGCGUCGGGCCGGUUCACGCGGCCGAACCCGCGCCUCCCGGCCGGGCGGCGCGGCGGGCACGCGCACCGCCUCCGGCUCCAAGAAUACGCGGAGGAGGUGGCCCGGGUCGGCGUCGGCGCCGUCCGUCACGGGCCACGGGCCCGCUUCCAAGCGCGUCUGCGCGUCGGCCACCCACGCCGUGUCCUUCAAGUGCCACUUCCACCGCACCAACUCACAGGGUCACGGCCAUGGCCAGGGCCAGGGAAGCCGCCCUUCUUUGCCCCCUUCACCGGCCGCGGCCAACGCGGUGCCGCGGCACCCGGCCUCGCCGUCCUCGUCCUCCAGCACCGUCGCGACCCAGUGA
This 687-nucleotide ribosomal RNA is filed under the name Triticum aestivum (bread wheat). RNAcentral describes it as "partial small subunit ribosomal RNA". The record is from RNAcentral. Lineage: Eukaryota; Viridiplantae; Streptophyta; Magnoliopsida; Poales; Poaceae.